RNAcentral lists this ribosomal RNA (465 nucleotides) under Vreelandella stevensii. Its description in RNAcentral is "partial 16S ribosomal RNA". It matches the Rfam family "Bacterial small subunit ribosomal RNA", at positions 338 to 795 of the family's 1533-position model. The record is from RNAcentral. Lineage: Bacteria; Pseudomonadati; Pseudomonadota; Gammaproteobacteria; Oceanospirillales; Halomonadaceae.
CCUACGGGCGGCAGCAGUGGGGAAUAUUGGACAAUGGGCGAAAGCCUGAUCCAGCCAUGCCGCGUGUGUGAAGAAGGCCUUCGGGUUGUAAAGCACUUUCAGUGGGGAAGAAAGCCUUGGGGCUAAUACCCUCGAGGAAGGACAUCACCCACAGAAGAAGCACCGGCCAACUCCGUGCCAGCAGCCGCGGUAAUACGGAGGGUGCGAGCGUUAAUCGGAAUUACUGGGCGUAAAGCGCGCGUAGGCGGUCUGAUAAGCCGGUUGUGAAAGCCCCGGGCUCAACCUGGGAACGGCAUCCGGAACUGUCAGGCUAGAGUGCAGGAGAGGAAGGUAGAAUUCCCGGUGUAGCGGUGAAAUGCGUAGAGAUCGGGAGGAAUACCAGUGGCGAAGGCGGCCUUCUGGACUGACACUGACGCUGAGGUGCGAAAGCGUGGGUAGCAAACAGGAUUAGAUACCCCUGUAGUC